Long non-coding RNA from Sinocyclocheilus anshuiensis, 316 nucleotides. RefSeq lists it as uncharacterized. The transcript is spliced from 3 exons. The record is from RefSeq and is a predicted model, not a curated record. NCBI's taxonomy places the organism in Eukaryota, Metazoa, Chordata, Actinopteri, Cypriniformes, Cyprinidae.
UCAGCUGCUGCUGCAAUAGAAGACAUAUUGAAAUCAGAUUAGGAGAGUGAGUAUUGUAUGGUGACGGCAGACAAGAGGAUAAAAACGGAUGCUCAUGUCAAGCUUGAUGAGGAUUUAGUCCAAGCUUUGAAAGACCCUGCAAUGCAGUUUUCAAAGACCACAGUGUCUGAAUUGCAAGCCCCCAGAUGAAGAUGAUGAUUUAAAGAUGAUGAUGAUGGUGACAUUUGAAAUGUUCUGUUUCUUUGUUUGGUUUAGCCAUUUGCAGGCAACUUCAUUAUCCCCCACUUUCACAGACAAGGCUUAAACCUAGUCCCAG